This 332-nucleotide long non-coding RNA is filed under the name Populus trichocarpa (black cottonwood). RNAcentral describes it as "long non-coding RNA (PTRI_LNC003127)". Lineage: Eukaryota; Viridiplantae; Streptophyta; Magnoliopsida; Malpighiales; Salicaceae. The record is from RNAcentral.
CUGCAUCUGAAACUGAGCUCUUAAAAAAGCACGAAGACUUGUUGGUAAGUAGUUUGGUGCAACUGCUUCGAUUCUUGUUAUCUUUCCAUGUCUUAUGUGUGUUCGCUCUUUGUCAGAAUGGUCCGACACAUAUCACUGAUCCAACACCUGUUGCUGGUCCAACACAUAUCACUGAUCCAACACCUGUUGCUGGUCCAACACAUAUCACUAUGUUGCCUCUUCCAAAAGAGAAGCAUGAUGAAGUACUGAAUGCUCCUGAUCAUGCUGAGCAUGAGCAGCCUGAUUCCGAUACAGAUUUCGACCCAUUAGAUUUUCCUGAAGUUCCUAAGAUC